Callithrix jacchus (white-tufted-ear marmoset) is the source of this 2580-nucleotide non-coding RNA. Lineage: Eukaryota; Metazoa; Chordata; Mammalia; Primates; Cebidae. The record is from RefSeq and is a predicted model, not a curated record.
CUCCAACCCAAGCGCUGACACCAUAUCAGGAACAUCCAAAGGGAAGAUAAUUAAAACCUGCAAGAAAACCAGCUGGCAGAGUAAAGGAAAAUCUUAGUGACUUAGGGACGACGCCACAUGUUUAUGGCAGGAGAAAUGUGCACGCUACAGGCAUCUGUCACCAAGGCCAGAGCAACUUCCCAGUGUGGCAACUGUACAGAUAGCUUCAGAAUGAGAUUUUAGAAAUUAUAAAAUUCUUUAAGAAGAAAAGAUGUCUUCAUAUAAGAAAAGGCAAGAGAAGCCUACGAAAGUAAUAUAAAGCAUUAGUCUUUGCACCCCAUAAAAAUCCAUUCCCUGAUCCCUCUUGGUUGAUAGAAGAGGAAAUAUAAUGCUGACAAAAAUACAACUUCUGACAAGAUAUUUUAUUUGGCUUACCUCUCCCCCAGGUCUUGCUAACACUGCUGUUUGAACGUGGAGAAAUGUUAAUAUCAGGUAGCUGACAAACAUUAUUACCCAAAGUUAGAACUACCCUAGAGGAGAACUCCGUCUGCCAAGUGCUAACAGCUAGCAGAUGCACUUGUGUCUCGGGAUUCCAGCCCUGGAGUUCCGCUAGGCACCGCGCUGGUUCCCUCGGCUCUCCCUCACUGUACUACCCGGCGCUUCAAGCUCAGCCUCUGCUCUGAAGAAAACUGAGUCUGGAGGAGUACAAACCCCAGCCAGAGGAUGUCUCUAUCAUUCCCACCCAGGUAGGGACUUCUGCUCUUGGAAAAAUGCCUCCCUUUGUCUGAGAAACAGAGCAGAUCAUCACAUCACGUUCCUGAGAACAGUGGAUCCCAUAUUUAAUGGUUUAAAGCUGACAGACGAAAGAUUCCAAGGACACCACCUGUAUCCCAUUUCAGUGGAGAAAUGCUAACCAUUCAUUCAGAAAUGCUAACCAUGACUAAGCAUUCAGCUUCCCCGUUUCCUGUGGUACAUGCCCCAGAGUGUCUUCACUUGAUCAAAAACCCUUGGCGGGCCCAGGAUGGAGUUUCGCUCUUGUUACCCAGGCUGGAGUGCAAUGGCGCGAUCUCGGCUCACCGCAACCUCCGCCUCCUGGGUUCAGGCAAUUCUCUUGCCUCAGCCUCCUGAGUAACUGGGAUUACAAGCACGCGCCACUAUGCCCAGCUAAUUUUUUGUAUUUUUAGUAGAGGUUUCACCAUGUUGACCAGGAUGGUCUCAAUCUCUUGACCUCAUGAUCCACCCGCCUCGGCCUCCCAAAGUGCUGGAUUACAGGUGUGAGCCACCGUGCCCGGCCACCUAAACCUUUUGACCUAGAAUUUCUACUUUUAGAGCGUUCCUUGAGGAAAUACUGAACAAAUGACCAAAUGUGUUAUGUCCAAGAUGUUCUCUUGUAGGAGGUUAGUAGGUAGUAACUAAAAACUGCAAACAACUUAAAUAUGUACCAGCAGAGGUAUGGUUAAACGAAUUUGGAUAUAUCCAUCCAUGGGAUGUGAUGUAUCCAACAGAAAUAGCCUCUGAGAGAGAGAAAUGUUCACUGAUAUGUUGUUUAAAAGGCACAUUAUAAAACAGCACAUAUAGUAUGAUCCCAUUUUUGUUUAAAGUUUUAUUUACUGAAAAACAAUAACAGAUCAGAGAUUAUCACGGGACAAUAAGAUCAUAGGAGAUUUUAAUUUUUCUUCUUAUAUGUAUAUUUUCUUUCUGCAGUGGAUACAUAUUACAUCAUGAAGAGUUUUUAAAGGAUCUUAAGAAUAAAACAACUUUAUUAUUUACUCAGCAACGAAAAACAAACUAUUGAUUCAACACCAUAGAUGAAUCUCAGAAACAUUAUGUUGAUCAAAAGCAGCUAAACACACAAGAAUUGAUCUCUAACAUUCCAUUUAUAUGCAGCUCUAGGAGAGGUGAGACUGGUGAUAAAUAUCCCAAGGUAGAUACCAAGAAGAGAAUAACUUUAAUACCUCCUCUACUGGCAGGCCAGUUGGAUGAUGAUGCUUAUCUCUCCUACAUCUGUCAAGCCCUCCUAAUUACUCCUGCAGGUGGCCACAAUGGAAACAGCCUCUUUCCAUCACAGGUGCCAUUAUGAGCGUCAUGCCCAGGACAGAAAUGUGACCUUGGUGACUACUGCCCUUCCUUUCUCCUGAUACCUGGCUUCCUUCUGCUCCCUGGCUGCUGUGCCUCAUUCUUCCUCACUUUCCUUCUAAACUGAGAGACUGAUGUAGCCAAAGGGGCCCUAGCUCUGACCUCUGUUUGCCUGAGUUCAAGCACUGGCUCAUUUAUUUAAGCAAGUAGGUCAAUUCCCCUAAAGCAAGUAAGUCAAUUUCCCUAAACUGAGGUCACUUUCUGGUUUUUAUCAUCAUAAUCCCACCUCUCCUAGAGCGGCAUAUAAAUGGAAUGUUACAGAUCAAUUCUUGUGUGUUUGGCUUCUUUGGUUCAAUACAAUGUUUCUGAGAUUCAUCCAUGGUGUUUAAUCGUUUGCUUUUUGUUGCUGAGUAUAUCUAUUGCAUGCAUAAGCUACAACUGAUCUAUUUACCUACUGAUAGAUCGUUGGGUUGUUUCCAGUUUUGAGCUAUUAUGAAUAAAGCUGCUAAUAAUAAUCACGUUCAA